UCAAAAGUUCCACGAGAUCAGCCUGCAAC
Molecule: small RNA, 29 nt
Filed under: Bombyx mori (domestic silkworm)
Lineage: Eukaryota; Metazoa; Arthropoda; Insecta; Lepidoptera; Bombycidae
Description: piRNA piR-bmo-1312845
Source: RNAcentral